This 276-nucleotide long non-coding RNA is filed under the name Lepidothrix coronata (blue-crowned manakin). RNAcentral's name for it is "lncRNA (ENSLCOG00000010687.1)". The record is from RNAcentral. Lineage: Eukaryota; Metazoa; Chordata; Aves; Passeriformes; Pipridae.
GCACAACAAAGGCGGCGGGCGACGCGUCCCGGGCGGGCUCCGCAGCUGCAAUGCUGAGACUGCUGCCAAAUCCCCCUCUAAGGGACAGUGUGAUCUGAGGGAAGCUGAUCUCCCACCUUCGGAGGACAGCCAGCAGCCCACAGCGAUGUCCGUGGCAACAGAGACCUGGGAGAACAAGCCAAGCAAUGAGACAGCCAGCGCCACUCCACCUGCAGGGAAUGUAAGGGAGAGGAAUUCACCUCUCAUCUUGGGCACGUGUUCAGGAUUUUUUUCCUC